AUUGAACGCUGGCGGCAUGCUUUACACAUGCAAGUCGAACGGUAACAGGCCGCAAGGUGCUGACGGGUGGCGAACGGGUGAGUAAUGCAUCGGAACGUGCCCAGUCUUGGGGGAUAACUACUCGAAAGAGUAGCUAAUACCGCAUACGAUCUAUGGAUGAAAGCGGGGGACCGUAAGGCCUCGCGCGAUUGGAGCGGCCGAUGUCAGAUUAGGUAGUUGGUGGGGUAAAGGCUCACCAAGCCAACGAUCUGUAGCUGGUCUGAGAGGACGACCAGCCACACUGGGACUGAGACAAGGCCCAGACUCCUACGGGAGGCAGCAGUGGGGAAUUUUGGACAAUGGGCGCAAGCCUGAUCCAGCAAUGCCGCGUGCAGGAAGAAGGCCUUCGGGUUGUAAACUGCUUUUGUACGGAACGAAACGGCUCUGGUUAAUACCCGGGGCUAAUGACGGUACCGUAAGAAUAAGCACCGGCUAACUACGUG
RNAcentral lists this ribosomal RNA (482 nucleotides) under uncultured bacterium. RNAcentral's name for it is "partial 16S ribosomal RNA". It matches the Rfam family "Bacterial small subunit ribosomal RNA", at positions 30 to 507 of the family's 1533-position model. The record is from RNAcentral.